Lycium barbarum (goji berry) is the source of this 538-nucleotide long non-coding RNA. RefSeq lists it as uncharacterized. The record is from RefSeq and is a predicted model, not a curated record. Lineage: Eukaryota; Viridiplantae; Streptophyta; Magnoliopsida; Solanales; Solanaceae. The transcript has 3 exons.
ACCCAGAAAUUUCAGAGGUAGAGAGAGAGAGGAGAGAUAGAGAAAGAAACCAAAUUUUGACCACAAUCUAAGCCCCGAAUCGCGAAGCUCCUGAAGAGAAAAGUGUUGUACGUCGCGUUGCCUUCAAUUUGAGCUAAAAAUCAGUCAAGAAAGAGAGGGUGGAAGUGGUUGCUGCAUAAUUAAGGUAACGACGUGACAUUGGGGAAGAGCAAGUGAACGAUAACAUAGCUAAACGACAAAGGUAGACAGGAAGGUGAGCUUGGUCCAGACCCUUAGUAGCUGUCAACUGAUUGAGAGCACUCCAUUGUCCAGAGGUGCUUAUGGUUCUUCUUUUGGUAUAUAUGCAUAUUUUGGGCAUGACGGAGUCUUGUUCCGUCUAUAUGUUUAGUAUGUCAGUAGAGACUCGUAGAUACGCAGUGUGGGUCAGAUGGUCUCGCAAGAUGUUAUUAUUAUGUAUAUAUUAUUUUGAUGGCCGAGAGGCAAAUGUAUAUAAGUAUUUAUGUUUCUAUAUAAAAUAUGAUUUUUCCUACAAUUCGUG